RNAcentral lists this unclassified non-coding RNA (375 nucleotides) under soil metagenome. RNAcentral describes it as "partial contains 5.8S ribosomal RNA, internal transcribed spacer 2, and large subunit ribosomal RNA". The stretch from base 1 to 120 matches the Rfam family "5.8S ribosomal RNA", at positions 35 to 154 of the family's 154-position model. The record is from RNAcentral.
GAUGAAGAACGUAGCGAAAUGCGAUAAGUAAUGUGAAUUGCAGAAUUCAGUGAAUCAUCGAAUCUUUGAACGCACACUGCGCCCGCCAGUAUUCUGGCGGGCAUGCCUGUUCGAGCGUCAUUUCAACCCUCAAGACCCCUUCGGGGGACUUGGUGUUGGGGACCGGCACAGGGGCCUGCCUGCUUGUCUUGCAGCGCCCUCGCCGCCCCCGAAAUGAAUUGGCGGCCUCGUCGCGGCCUCCCCUGCGUAGUAGCACAACCUCGCAACGGGAACGUGACGGCGGCCACUGCCGUAAAACAACCCCAAUUUUAUUAGAGUUGACCUCGAAUCAGGUAGGAAUACCCGCUGAACUUAAGCAUAUCAAUAAGCGGAGGA